This 435-nucleotide ribosomal RNA is filed under the name uncultured bacterium. RNAcentral's name for it is "bacterial SSU rRNA". It matches the Rfam family "Bacterial small subunit ribosomal RNA", at positions 30 to 504 of the family's 1533-position model. The record is from RNAcentral.
UGAACGCUGGCGGUAUGCCUAACACAUGCAAGUCGUACGAGAGUUUUUAACUCAAGUGGCGGACGGGUGAGUAACACGUGAGAAUCUGCCUUUAGGAGGGGGACAACAACUGGAAACGGUUGCUAAUACCCCAUAUGCUUUCGAGUGAAAUGAAUUUAUUCGCCUAAAGAGGAGCUCGCGGCUGAUUAGCUUGUUGGUAGAGUAAUAGCCUACCAAGGCGACGAUCAGUAUCUGGUUUGAGAGGACGAUCAGACACACUGGAACUGAGACACGGUCCAGACUCCUACGGGAGGCAGCAGUGGGGAAUUUUCCGCAAUGGGCGAAAGCCUGACGGAGCAAUACCGCGUGAGGGAAGACGGCCUAUGGGUUGUAAACCUCUUUUCUCAGGGAGGAAUUCAAUGACGUGUACCUGAGGAAUAAGCAUCGGCUAACUCC